CGAGUCUGAACAGGGCGUUUAGUUGCAUGGAGUAGACCCGAAGCCAAGUGAUCUACCCAUGGCCAGGGUGAAAUUUCGGUAACACGAAAUGGAGGCCCGAACCGGUGUUGGUUGAAAACAGCUCGGAUGAGCUGUGGGUAGGGGUGAAAGGCCAAUCAAACUUGGAAAUAGCUGGUUCUCCCCGAAAUCUAUUUAGGUAGAGCCUGGCAAAUUAAGUAGCGGAGGUAGAGCACUGGAUGGGCUAGGGGCCCUACCAGGUUACCAACCCCAACCAAACUCCGAAUGCCGCUAACUUCUAUUGCCGGAGGCAGACUACGGGCGAUAAGGUCCGUGGUCGAGAGGGAAACAGCCCAGACCGUCAGCUAAGGUCCCUAAGCGUGUGCUAAGUGGGAAAGGAUGUGGAGUCGCUUAAACAACCAGGAGGUUGGCUUAGAAGCAGCCAUCCUUUAAAGAAAGCGUAAUAGCUCACUGGUCGAAUGGGUCUGCGCCGAAAAUUCAACGGGGCUCAAGCAUGUAACCGAAGCUGCGGGUCUCGCGCAAGCGGGGCGGUAGGGGAGCAUUCCAUCCUAGGUUGAAGCCAGAUCGUAAGGACUGGUGGACGAAAUGGAAGAGAUUAUGCUGACAUAAGUAGCGACAAAGCGUGUGAGAAACACGCUCGCCGAAAACCUAAGGUUUCCUGAGUAAAGUUAAUCUUCUCAGGGUUAGUCGAUCCCUAAGCCGAGGCCGAAAGGCGUAGGUGAUGGAAAACAGGUUAAUAUUCCUGUACCACUUCUUCCGCGUUUGAGCGAUGGGGGGACGCAGGAGGGUAGGCCAUUCCCGUGUUGGAAUACGGGAUCCAAGCUUGUAGGUGGAUCCGCCAGGAAAAUCCGGCGGGUCUUAACACCGAGAAGUGAUGGGGAUGCCGAGCAAUCGGCUACAAACUGGCUGAGCCCACGCUGCCAAGAAAAGCCUCUAGCAAGUGGAAGGGGUGAUCGUACCGCAAACCGACACAGGUAGGCGGGGAGAGAAUCCUAAGGCGCUUGAGUGACCCCUCGUUAAGGAACUCGGCCAAUUAACUCCGUAACCUCGGGAAAAGGAGUGUCUCGGGUUGUGAGGGGACUUGCUCCCGGAGCAAUCUGAGAUCGCAGUGAAAAGGCUGUAGCGACUGUUUAAUAAAAACACAGGUCUCUGCGAAGUCGUAAGACGAAGUAUAGGGGCUGACGCCUGCCCGGUGCCGGAAGGUUAAGGGGACUUGUUAGCCGCAAGGCGAAGCAUCGAACCGAAGCCCCGGUAAACGGCGGCCGUAACUAUAACGGUCCUAAGGUAGCGAAAUUCCUUGUCGGGUAAGUUCCGACCUGCACGAAUGGCGUAACGACUUCAGCACUGUCUCAACGAGGGGCUCAGCGAAGUUGUGGUAGCGGUGAAGACGCCGCUUACCCGCAUCAAGACGGAAAGACCCCGUGCACCUUUACUAUAACUUGGCAAUGGAUUUUGGGAUAGUCUGUGUAGGAUAGGUGGGAGGCUAUGAAAUCCCGGCGCCAGUCGGGAUGGAGCCAACCUUGAAAUACCACCCUGAUUAUUCCGAAAUUCUAACUCGGACCCGUUAUCCGGGUCGAGGACAUUGCCUGGUGGGUAGUUUGACUGGGGCGGUCGCCUCCAAAAGUGUAACGGAGGCGCACGAAGGUUCCCUCAGGCUGAUUGGAAACCAGCCGAAGAGUGUAAAGGCAUAAGGGAGCUUGACUGCGAGACUGACGAGUCGAGCAGGUGCGAAAGCAGGUCUUAGUGAUCCGGCGGUUCUGGAUGGAAGGGCCGUCGCUCAACGGAUAAAAGGUACGCCGGGGAUAACAGGCUGAUCUCCCCCAAGAGU
RNAcentral lists this ribosomal RNA (1846 nucleotides) under sediment metagenome. RNAcentral describes it as "bacterial LSU rRNA". It matches the Rfam family "Bacterial large subunit ribosomal RNA", at positions 678 to 2499 of the family's 2925-position model. The record is from RNAcentral.